Molecule: ribosomal RNA, 253 nt
Filed under: uncultured bacterium
Lineage: Bacteria
Description: partial 16S ribosomal RNA
Rfam family: Bacterial small subunit ribosomal RNA
Source: RNAcentral
UACGGGGGGGGCAAGCGUUGUUCGGAAUUACUGGGCGUAAAGGGUUCGUAGGUGGCCAACUAAGUCAGACGUGAAAUCCCUCAGCUUAACUGGGGAACUGCGUCUGAGACUGGAUGGCUUGAGUGCAGGAGAGGAACGCGGAAUUCCAGGUGUAGCGGUGAAAUGCGUAGAUAUCUGGAGGAACACCGGUGGCGAAGGCGGCGUUCUGGACUGCAACUGACGCUGAGGCACGAAAGUGUGGGGAUCAAACAGG